AACGAACGCUGGCGGCAGGCCUAACACAUGCAAGUCGAGCGCCCAGCAAUGGGAGCGGCAGACGGGUGAGUAACACGUGGGAACCUUCCCUAUAGUACGGAAUAGCCCAGGGAAACUUGGAGUAAUACCGCAUACGCCCGAGAGGGGAAAGAUUUAUCGCUAUAGGAUGGGCCCGCGUAGGAUUAGCUAGUUGGUGAGGUAAUGGCUCACCAAGGCGACGAUCCUUAGCUGGUCUGAGAGGACGACCAGCCACACUGGGACUGAGACACGGCCCAGACUCCUACGGGAGGCAGCAGUGGGGAAUAUUGGACAAUGGGGCGCAAGCCUGAUCCAGCCAUGCCGCGUGAGUGAUGAAGGCCUUAGGGUUGUAAAGCUCUUUUGCCGGGGACGAUAAUGACGGUACCCGGAGAAUAAGUCCCGGCUAACUUCGUGCCAGCAGCCGCGGUAAU
RNAcentral lists this ribosomal RNA (449 nucleotides) under uncultured bacterium. RNAcentral describes it as "bacterial SSU rRNA". It matches the Rfam family "Bacterial small subunit ribosomal RNA", at positions 29 to 524 of the family's 1533-position model. The record is from RNAcentral.